This 65-nucleotide transfer RNA is filed under the name Marmota monax (woodchuck). RNAcentral describes it as "tRNA.Ala". The record is from RNAcentral. Lineage: Eukaryota; Metazoa; Chordata; Mammalia; Rodentia; Sciuridae.
GGUGUGGCUCAGUUGUAGAGCACUUGACUAGCAUGCACAAGGCCCUGGGAUCAAUUCCCAGCCCA